GGGAAUUUUGGACAAUGGGCGCAAGCCUGAUCCAGCCAUGCCGCGUGUCUGAAGAAGGCCUUCGGGUUGUAAAGGACUUUUGUCAGGGAAGAAAAGGCUGUUGCUAAUAUCAGCGGCUGAUGACGGUACCUGAAGAAUAAGCACCGGCUAACUACGUGCCAGCAGCCGCGGUAAUACGUAGGGUGCGAGCGUUAAUCGGAAUUACUGGGCGUAAAGCGGGCGCAGACGGUUACUUAAGCAGGAUGUGAAAUCCCCGGGCUCAACCCGGGAACUGCGUUCUGAACUGGGUGACUCGAGUGUGUCAGAGGGAGGUAGAAUUCCACGUGUAGCAGUGAAAUGCGUAGAGAUGUGGAGGAAUACCGAUGGCGAAGGCAGCCUCCUGGGAUAACACUGACGUUCAUGCCCGAAAGCGUGGGUAGCAAACAGGAUUAGAUACCCUGGUAGUCCACGCCCUAAACGAUGUCAAUUAGCUGUUGGGCAACAUGAUUGCUUGGUAGCGUAGCUAACGCGUGAAAUUGACCGCCUGGGGAGUACGGUCGCAAGAUUAAAACUCAAAGGAAUUGACGGGGACCCGCACAAGCGGUGGAUGAUGUGGAUUAAUUCGAUGCAACGCGAAGAACCUUACCUGGUCUUGACAUGUACGGAAUCCUCCAGAGACGGAGGAGUGCCUUCGGGAGCCGUAACACAGGUGCUGCAUGGCUGUCGUCAGCUCGUGUCGUGAGAUGUUGGGUUAAGUCCCGCAACGAGCGCAACCCUUGUCAUUAGUUGCCAUCAUUCAGUUGGGCACUCUAAUGAGACUGCCGGUGACAAGCCGGAGGAAGGUGGGGAUGACGUCAAGUCCUCAUGGCCCUUAUGACC
This 858-nucleotide ribosomal RNA is filed under the name uncultured Neisseria sp. Its description in RNAcentral is "bacterial SSU rRNA". It matches the Rfam family "Bacterial small subunit ribosomal RNA", at positions 357 to 1209 of the family's 1533-position model. Lineage: Bacteria; Pseudomonadati; Pseudomonadota; Betaproteobacteria; Neisseriales; Neisseriaceae. The record is from RNAcentral.